CGGAAGACUAACUCGUAUAAACCAGUAACUAUCGGAAAGAACUUUAACGGUAGACUGACUCGUAUAAACCAGUAACUAUCGGAAAGAACUUUAACGCAAACAUGAAUAACCUGGUUAACAAUCCCAGCAUUAGGAUGAAAAAUUUUGUCCUGCAUUUUUUUUUAGCUGUAAUCUCUGUCCUGCCUUUUUAUUUUUCACUCUGUUCGGUCCUGCCUUUUUUUUUUUGUAGUUUAUCAUGACUUUUUUUUUUACCUAACAUGCCUAAAUUGUCGUCCUGACUUUUUUUUUUGCAAGUGUCUCAUCCUGACUUUUUUUUAACUCUAAACUCCUGUCCUGCCUAUUUUUUUCAAAUUUCAUCCUAGCCCCCCCCCCCCCCCCCU
RNAcentral lists this long non-coding RNA (380 nucleotides) under Mytilus galloprovincialis (Mediterranean mussel). The record is from RNAcentral. Lineage: Eukaryota; Metazoa; Mollusca; Bivalvia; Mytilida; Mytilidae.